Molecule: ribosomal RNA, 434 nt
Filed under: uncultured bacterium
Lineage: Bacteria
Description: bacterial SSU rRNA
Rfam family: Bacterial small subunit ribosomal RNA
Source: RNAcentral
GCUAAACGCGAAGAACCUUACCUACCCUUGACAUGUCCGGAAUCCUGCAGAGAUGCGGGAGUGCCCGAAAGGGAAUCGGAACACAGGUGCUGCAUGGCUGUCGUCAGCUCGUGUCGUGAGAUGUUGGGUUAAGUCCCGCAACGAGCGCAACCCUUAUCAUUAGUUGCUACGCAAGGGCACUCUAAUGAGACUGCCGGUGACAAACCGGAGGAAGGUGGGGAUGACGUCAAGUCCUCAUGGCCUUUAUGUCCAGGGCUACACACGUGCUCCAAUGGGCGGUACAAAGGGCUGCGAAGUCGCGAGACGGAGUCAAUCCCAAAAAGCCGCUCUCAGUCCGGAUUGCAGUCUGCAACUCGACUGCAUGAAGGUGGAAUCGCUAGUAAUCGCGGAUCAGCACGCCGCGGUGAAUACGUUCCCGGGUCUUGUACACACCG